This 503-nucleotide ribosomal RNA is filed under the name Pseudomonas plecoglossicida. RNAcentral's name for it is "bacterial SSU rRNA". It matches the Rfam family "Bacterial small subunit ribosomal RNA", at positions 39 to 522 of the family's 1533-position model. Lineage: Bacteria; Pseudomonadati; Pseudomonadota; Gammaproteobacteria; Pseudomonadales; Pseudomonadaceae. The record is from RNAcentral.
CCUUAAUAGGUACGAAAAGUGGUGUGUCCUACCACCGUUCGAGCGGAUGCCGGGAGCUUGCUCCUUGAUUCAGCGGCGGACGGGUGAGUAAUGCCUAGGAAUCUGCCUGGUAGUGGGGGACAACGUUCCGAAAGGGGCGCUAAUACCGCAUACGUCCUACGGGAGAAAGUGGGGGAUCUUCGGACCUCACGCUAUCAGAUGAGCCUAGGUCGGAUUAGCUAGUUGGUGAGGUAAUGGCUCACCAAGGCGACGAUCCGUAACUGGUCUGAGAGGAUGAUCAGUCACACUGGAACUGAGACACGGUCCAGACUCCUACGGGAGGCAGCAGUGGGGAAUAUUGGACAAUGGGCGAAAGCCUGAUCCAGCCAUGCCGCGUGUGUGAAGAACGUCUUCGGAUUGUAAAGCACUUUAAGUUGGGAGGAAGGGCAGUAAGUUAAUACCUUGCUGUUUUGACGUUACCGACAGAAUAACACCGGCUAACUCUGUGCCAGCCAGCCGCGGUA